UCGUCACACUAUCAUUAACUGAAUCCAUAGGUUAAUGAGGCGAACCGGGGGAACUGAAACAUCUAAGUACCCCGAGGAAAAGAAAUCAACCGAGAUUCCCCCAGUAGCGGCGAGCGAACGGGGAGGAGCCCAGAGCCUGAAUCAGCAUGUGUGUUAGUGGAAGCGUCUGGAAAGGCGCGCGAUACAGGGUGACAGCCCCGUACACAAAAGCGCAUGUGCUGUGAGCUCGAUGAGUAGGGCGGGACACGUGGUAUCCUGUCUGAAUAUGGGGGGACCAUCCUCCAAGGCUAAAUACUCCUGACUGACCGAUAGUGAACCAGUACCGUGAGGGAAAGGCGAAAAGAACCCCGGCGAGGGGAGUGAAAAAGAACCUGAAACCGUGUACGUACAAGCAGUGGGAGCACAGGUUUACCUGUGUGACUGCGUACCUUUUGUAUAAUGGGUCAGCGACUUAUAUUCUGUAGCAAGGUUAACCGUAUAGGGGAGCCGGAGGGAAACCGAGUCUUAAUUGGGCGUUAAGUUGCAGGGUAUAGACCCGAAACCCGGUGAUCUAGCCAUGGGCAGGUUGAAGGUUGGGUAACACUAACUGGAGGACCGAACCGACUAAUGUUGAAAAAUUAGCGGAUGACCUGUGGCUGGGGGUGAAAGGCCAAUCAAACCGGGAGAUAGCUGGUUCUCCCCGAAAGCUAUUUAGGUAGCGCCUCGUGAAUUCAUCUCCGGGGGUAGAGCACUGUUUCGGCUAGGGGGCCAUCCCGGCUUACCAACCCGAUGCAAACUGCGAAUACCGGAGAAUGUUAUCACGGGAGACACACGGCGGGUGCUAACGUCCGUCGUGAAGAGGGAAACAACCCAGACCGCCAGCUAAGGUCCCAAAGUCAUGGUUAAGUGGGAAACGAUGUGGGAAGGCCCAGACAGCCAGGAUGUUGGCUUAGAAGCAGCCAUCAUUUAAAGAAAGCGUAAUAGCUCACUGGUCGAGUCGGCCUGCGCGGAAGAUGUAACGGGGCUAAACCAUGCACCGAAGCUGCGGCAGCGA
RNAcentral lists this ribosomal RNA (1033 nucleotides) under Salmonella enterica. RNAcentral's name for it is "partial 23S ribosomal RNA". It matches the Rfam family "Bacterial large subunit ribosomal RNA", at positions 140 to 1211 of the family's 2925-position model. RNAcentral also lists the same sequence under 6 other names. Lineage: Bacteria; Pseudomonadati; Pseudomonadota; Gammaproteobacteria; Enterobacterales; Enterobacteriaceae. The record is from RNAcentral.